RNAcentral lists this transfer RNA (72 nucleotides) under Methanothrix sp. RNAcentral's name for it is "tRNA-Ala". It matches the Rfam family "tRNA". Rfam says of the family: Transfer RNA (tRNA) molecules are approximately 80 nucleotides in length. Their secondary structure includes four short double-helical elements and three loops (D, anti-codon, and T loops). Lineage: Archaea; Methanobacteriati; Methanobacteriota; Methanomicrobia; Methanotrichales; Methanotrichaceae. The record is from RNAcentral. RNAcentral also lists the same sequence under 7 other names.
GGGCUCGUAGAUCAGGGGUAGAUCGCUACCUUCGCAAGGUAGAGGCCGCGGGUUCGAAUCCCGCCGAGUCCA